CAUUUUCCCUUUUAACCCAUCAGAUCUCUCACAUGUUAGGGACACGCAAAAAGCGUGACCCCUUGCCCAUUUUUUGGCGAUUCUUCGGCUAUAUCCCCUCUCUUUCUUCUCCAUUCUCACUGGAGAUCGGACACCCACAGAUCAGACCCCAAAAAUUGAGCAGUGGUUUUCACCUUCUCCAACACAGACCGCCAGCAUCUUCUUCUUCACAAACGAGAGAAGACCCUUCGAUCCCCUCUGAAAAUCAACAGCCAUAGCUUCGAGCUUCACCCUCCUCACCACCAAAUCAGUCCUUGCUCCCUCCUCUUCGUUCAGCAACACCACCUGAACAGAGCAAAACACAGAACAAACACAAAACAAAAAAAGUAGCAGCAAAAAGUAUCAAACAAUCCUCAAAGCUUCAGCUAUUUGAAACAGUUUUCGAAUUCAAUUUCCGUGCAGAAUCGAGGUUCCGACUUGGUCUUUGUUGAUGAAUCCAUCCAUGUUUAGCUUCGUCGGCUGGCUUUUCUUUUUAAACGGGCAGCAGUUCCUUUGACAAUUUGAAAGCAACUCAGUCUUCGUGCGGCGAGUGUGUUUGAUUGAGCGGGUGUCGUUUCGAGUCGCUCGCUGAUUGCCGAUCGAGUCAUUAUGCUGGAGGAAAUCACUAAUUUCACUGCUGUUUGGACACUCUGUUGAGUACUCUGAGCUUUAGCUUUCCAUUUCAGCUUCACUUGGUUAAUUUCAAGCUAUAUUAUUGCUAUCGAGGUAUUUCGCUUACUUAUUUCUUAUGAAUCUCUGAAAUGUAUGGAGUUUUCGUGUUGAUGUGAUUUGUUUUUGGCUCAGAAAUGGAAUUGCUGUUUACGAAUAUUACUGCCAAAUUGGUUUGAGUAUUUUAAGUUUGAAAUUCUGUUUAAUUCGUAUGGAUCGUGAAUCUUACUGUUCUUGUGGUUGCUGCUGUUUAGUGCAGUACUUGCUAAUCUCUAGUACUAAUUGUGCGUUUAGCUGAACAAGUAGACAAUUGAAGUCUUACUGAUUGAUAUGGCAUCUAGUUGAUAUUUGUUCAUUAGCAGAUGAUGAUUUAUAUUAUUUGGGUUGAUUGCACCAUGAAGCUCCUGAUUCGAGUUUUUCUCUUUUAGAACUGAGGCCACCCUAUAAACUUUAAUUUUCUCUUUGGAUUUGUAGAAUCAUAUUGCUGAAUGGUGAAGCUAUCAGAGUUGCCAAGUUAAACAUUCUACUAAAAUUUUGCCCAUUCUUCUUUAUUGUAAAUGUUGAAGCUAAAGGUGAAUGAAUAAGUUAGAUACAUUCAAACAAAAGGCAAAAGGGUAUAAAUCCAUUACUUGAUAUUUAGUUUGAUGUACUGUUGUUUGAUUUGGAAGAAUAACAUAUCAGUUAAUAAAGUUGGUUGUGAUGUAAGGAUUGAGAGUCAAUUUUUGUAUUGAAGCAAUUCUCUGUUUUUUUUCUCGAGUGUUAAUGGAAUUAGCACAGCAAUAUAGAAACAUGUAAAAGAUCUGAUCUAUUACGUCAAUUGUUAGAAUAUCAGGGACUAGUUAUCAACUCGUCGUUUGGGAUGAUUCAGUUUCCGUGCUUUGGAGUUUGGUGUGAACAAUUAUUUGUCUUAAUUUGCCUACAUGAAGUUUAAAGUAUGAUUGUUUUAUUUGGUUGUGAUUGAGCGAUAGUUUACAGUUAGAUUAAUGAGCUUCUUUUAUUGUUUGAAAUGAUAGUAUAAUAUCCAUGUUAUAAAUUAGAUUAAAGUAGGAUCCCCCUUUAAUUUGCCCUUUAAAAACAUAUGUAUAUAAACCUUUUUCUUAAAUUAAUUUGAGGUACGUCAUGCCAAAUAAAAUCACAAAUUACGUGACCCUUUUUAAUUUUUUUUUUUUAAAAAUAGUUAGAAUUUGGGACGCGCUGUCUAGCAAAUUUCACGGUCCUCCCAAAAGAUUAAACGCGUAGUUGCUUUAGGCGCGUUAUUUUAAUAACAUUACCUUCCUAAAUAUAUAUGCUGCCCACCUUCAAAUCCUAAAACGUUGAACAAAGUGUGUCUAGGAUUGCGGGUUCAUUUGAUGCGGCGCAAUCCGAAAACACAUUUUAAACGACGNNNNNNNNNNNNNNNNNNNNNNNNNNNNNNNNNNNNNNNNNNNNNNNNNNNNNNNNNNNNNNNGGCGCAAUCCGAAAACACAUUUUAAACGACGUUCACUUUCUCAAAUAAAUAUAUAUUUAAUAAAAGCGGUUAAAGAUAAAAUUGGCACAUAGGUAUCUCAUGUAUUAAAAUCAGAUUUUAGCCAUUCAUAGCAAUUUAAGCGAUCGUGCUAGAACCACGGGAUCCGAGGGUGCCUAACAUCUUCCCUCGGGUCAACAGAAUUACUUAUUCAGAAUUUCUGAUUCGCAGACUCCAAUCAGAAGUCGAAAUUUUUCCUCGGUUCGGGAUUCAUGAAAAACUAGUGACUUGGGACACCAAAAGUCAAAUCUAUCACAAGUGGCGACUCUGAAUAAAUAAUCCUGAUCUGAAUAAUGUCACUUAAAAUGGAAAAAACUCCCUUAUACAUUUAUCCUCCGGGGUAGGUGUGUAAAAAGGAGGUGUGACACCACCAUUACUUAGUAACCUUGAGAGCUUUUGACGAGAUUUUUAUGAGGGUUUUGACUGGGAAUCGAUUGAAGGUAAGUUCUAUGGCCAUGAAACAUCAUUUAAUUGUGAUUUCAACACUUAAAUUCAUGGAAAUUUGAUUAAAAGGGGAAGAAUUAUGGCUUGACUUUUUGAAUGAAAAAUUGGGAUUUGAGGGAGCAAUUGAGCUCCGAUUCUUGUGAUUUUAAUAUGUAUAAACUCGUGACGAGAUAAGAUAUUCGGUGAUGUUAAAUUUUUUGAUUUUCGAGAAGUGAGCCCGGGGCUCGGAUUUUGAAAAUUUUGUGAAUUUUGAUAUUUUUUGAGUCUUUUCGAUUGGGUUGUGUUCCCUUAGCCUAUUGUAACGUAUUCGUUAUAGUCAUGGUCAGAUUCGACAUGCGAGGAGGUCGAUUCGAGAGGAAAAGGCAUAGCUAUCUAGACUUUGGCCGGCUAGAGGUGAGUAAUAUAUGUAAAUGAUGUCCCGAGGGUUUGAAACCCCUAUAUUUCACAUCGUAAUGAUAUAUUGCGGCGAGACACGCGCUCUACUACGAGUGCGGGAUCGAUUGAUAUUGGGGAUUGUGACUUGGUCUGUCCCGAGUGACAUUUUUACUGUGCUUUCGACUAGAACUUACUUGAAAAAUCAUCCUACUUGGAUUAAAUUGCUACAUUUGGGCUUUGUGCCAAUUAUUUGAUCAUUCACGGAUUGUUAUCACUGUUUCACAUUAUUUGGCAUGUUAUUUGAUCUCAAUCCUAAGUUUUAAUGUUGUUUUUGACAAACUCAGCCAAUUUCUAACAUUCAAUGGCCCAAAUGAUUUUUUACUGAUAUUUUGAGCUGAUUAUUUCAAAUAUUUCCCGAGAGACUAAUGUAUUUUUAUGGACCGAGCAUGGAUCAGGCUGCACACCGUGGCAGUGUGUAUAUAUAUUAGUUCGGACUGCACGCCGCAGUGAUAUAAUGCUUGGGAUGUAAGAGCCCAUCC
Molecule: long non-coding RNA, 3549 nt
Filed under: Nicotiana benthamiana
Lineage: Eukaryota; Viridiplantae; Streptophyta; Magnoliopsida; Solanales; Solanaceae
Description: long non-coding RNA (NBEN_LNC018843)
Source: RNAcentral